UACAGAGGUCCCGAGCGUUGUUCGGAUUCACUGGGCGUAAAGGGUGCGUAGGUGGUGAGGUAAGUCGGAUGUGAAAUCUCCGGGCUCAACCCGGAAAUGGCAUUGGAAACUACCUUGCUUGAGGAUUUGAGGGGGGAUUGGAAUACUUGGUGUAGCAGUGAAAUGCGUAGAUAUCAAGUGGAACACCAGUGGCGAAGGCGAAUCCCUGGGCUGACCUUGACGCUGAGACGCGAAAGCGUGGGGAGCGAACAGG
This 253-nucleotide ribosomal RNA is filed under the name uncultured bacterium. RNAcentral describes it as "partial 16S ribosomal RNA". It matches the Rfam family "Bacterial small subunit ribosomal RNA", at positions 524 to 776 of the family's 1533-position model. The record is from RNAcentral.